This 29-nucleotide small RNA is filed under the name Bombyx mori (domestic silkworm). RNAcentral's name for it is "piRNA piR-bmo-1496886". Lineage: Eukaryota; Metazoa; Arthropoda; Insecta; Lepidoptera; Bombycidae. The record is from RNAcentral.
UGAUUUGUCCGAUUUUUAGUUAAGCUAAA